AGAAAUUUAGGAUAUAUAAACCAGGGGCCUUCAAAGCCCCAAAAAAGAGACAUCUCUUAAUUUCUG
RNAcentral lists this transfer RNA (66 nucleotides) under Sphenodon punctatus (tuatara). Its description in RNAcentral is "tRNA-Trp". Lineage: Eukaryota; Metazoa; Chordata; Lepidosauria; Sphenodontia; Sphenodontidae. The record is from RNAcentral.